GACGAACGCUGGCGGCGUGCUUAACACAUGCAAGUCGAGCGGUAAGGCCCUUUCGGGGGUACGACGAGCGGCGAACGGGUAGAGUAACACGUGGGUGACCUGCCCUCAGCUCUGGGAUAAGCCUGGGAAACUGGGUCUAAUACUGGAUAUGACUCCACGGUGCAUGUCGUGGGGUGGAAAGCCUUGUGCGGCUGAGGAUGGGCCCGCGGCCUAUCAGCUUGUU
RNAcentral lists this ribosomal RNA (223 nucleotides) under uncultured bacterium. Its description in RNAcentral is "partial 16S ribosomal RNA". It matches the Rfam family "Bacterial small subunit ribosomal RNA", at positions 28 to 250 of the family's 1533-position model. The record is from RNAcentral.